Molecule: long non-coding RNA, 462 nt
Organism: Gadus morhua (Atlantic cod)
Lineage: Eukaryota; Metazoa; Chordata; Actinopteri; Gadiformes; Gadidae
Exons: 3
Source: RefSeq, a predicted model, not a curated record
CGCGUUAAGUGUUUCAAACGUGUUGACAUUAUAAUAUUUCAAAAUGAGUAACCGUACAGUAUCUCACAGUAUCACGUUAAUUGUUAUCGUUUCCGUAUUGGCCAGCAAGGAGUCAAUCAGCUGACCCUAAUCAGCGGAGAGUUUCAGUGGAAGCCGGGUUCAAGCGAGAAUACUCGGGUACAGUAGCAGGAUGAAUAAGGGAGGAACUCUCACCUUGUCGAAGAACCGGCUUAGCUUGACAGCGUUGGACGUGCCAGCAGCAAGGUACCGCGGGUUGGUGCAGUCCUGAGAGAGGAGAAGAUCUCACUUUAGGGUGAACUACAAACUACAAUGGAACUAGGACCUUUUGGAGCUGAGUCAAUGUGUCAAUGUUCCCUUUCUACCCAACAAUCAUUGCUGUAAAAUCCAGAAAACCUCUGUUCCAGUCCCACUUUAGGACUCUCAUCUACCCAUUAUCAAGCU